Paenibacillus sp. Soil787 is the source of this 81-nucleotide non-coding RNA. NCBI's taxonomy places the organism in Bacteria, Bacillati, Bacillota, Bacilli, Caryophanales, Paenibacillaceae. The record is from Rfam.
AAACACGGUUGAAACAGGAUUUGCCAUGCGAAGUCAGCAGAGGCCAUAGUACCUCAUGUAGCUUGGCGACAUGGGAAGGGC